CGAUGCGCCGCGGUCGCGAGAGGCUUCAACCCUUCGGUCCGGCCCGUCAGUUAGCCUUGAGUGGGUUCGAAACUUUUCCUCCUCCCCGC
Molecule: transfer RNA, 89 nt
Filed under: Thalassiosira oceanica
Lineage: Eukaryota; Bacillariophyta; Thalassiosirophyceae; Thalassiosirales; Thalassiosiraceae
Description: Selenocysteine transfer RNA
Source: RNAcentral